Molecule: ribosomal RNA, 675 nt
Filed under: Acinetobacter baumannii
Lineage: Bacteria; Pseudomonadati; Pseudomonadota; Gammaproteobacteria; Moraxellales; Moraxellaceae
Description: partial 23S ribosomal RNA
Rfam family: Bacterial large subunit ribosomal RNA
Source: RNAcentral
GAAAUAGAUCCUGAAACCGCAUGCAUACAAGCAGUGGGAGCACCUUCGUGGUGUGACUGCGUACCUUUUGUAUAAUGGGUCAGCGACUUAUAUUCAGUAGCAAGGUUAACCGUAUAGGGGAGCCGUAGAGAAAUCGAGUCUUAAUAGGGCGUUUAGUUGCUGGGUAUAGACCCGAAACCAGGCGAUCUAUCCAUGAGCAGGUUGAAGGUUGGGUAACACUAACUGGAGGACCGAACCCACUGUCGUUGAAAAGCCAGGGGAUGACUUGUGGAUAGGGGUGAAAGGCUAAUCAAGCCUGGUGAUAGCUGGUUCUCCCCGAAAGCUAUUUAGGUAGCGCCUCGGACGAAUACCAUAGGGGGUAGAGCACUGUUUCGGCUAGGGGGUCAUCCCGACUUACCAAACCGAUGCAAACUCCGAAUACCUAUGAGUACUAUCCGGGAGACAGACUGCGGGUGCUAACGUCCGUAGUCAAGAGGAAAACAAUCCAGACCGCCAGCUAAGGCCCCAAAAUCAUAGUUAAGUGGGAAACGAUGUGGGAAGGCAUAGACAGCUAGGAGGUUGGCUUAGAAGCAGCCACCCUUUAAAGAAAGCGUAAUAGCUCACUAGUCGAGUCGGCCUGCGCGGAAGAUGUAACGGGGCUAAAACUAUGUGCCGAAGCUGCGGAUGUAUACUUGU